This 1383-nucleotide ribosomal RNA is filed under the name uncultured bacterium. RNAcentral describes it as "16S ribosomal RNA". It matches the Rfam family "Bacterial small subunit ribosomal RNA", at positions 79 to 1447 of the family's 1533-position model. The record is from RNAcentral.
CUUUGCUCUGAUGAGAGUGGCGAACGGGUGAGUAACGCGUGGGUUAUCUGCCUUCAGGAUGGGGAUAGCCACUAGAAAUAGUGGGUAAUACCGAAUAUUUUUGCCUGGCUGACGCCGGGUAAAGAAAGGCGCAAUUGUGCCGCCUGAAGAUGAGCCUGCGUCCUAUUAGCUGGUUGGUGGGGUAAAGGCCUACCAAGGCGACGAUAGGUAGCCGGCCUGAGAGGGUGUCCGGCCACAUUGGGACUGAGAUACGGCCCAGACUCCUACGGGAGGCAGCAGCUAAGAAUCUUCCGCAAUGGGCGAAAGCCUGACGGAGCGACGUUGCGUGGACGACGAAGGUCGAGAGAUUGUAAAGUCCUUUUCUGUGAGAGGAAUAAGGCGGGGAGUGGAACGCCCUGCUGAUGACGUUAACACAGGAAUAAGCUCCGGCAAAUUACGUGCCAGCAGCCGCGGUAAUACGUAAGGAGCGAGCGUUGUUCGGAUUUAUUGGGCGUAAAGGGCGCGCAGGCGGUUUUACAAGUCUGUAAUCAAAUCCCCGGGCUUAACUCGGGACCGGUUAUGGAAACUGUAAAACUAGAAUCCUUUAGGGGAAGCUGGAAUUCCUGGUGUAGGGGUGGAAUCUGUUGAUAUCAGGAAGAACACCAAAGGCGAAGGCAGGCUUCUGGGGAGUGAUUGACGCUGAGGCGCGAAAGUGUAGGGAGCAAACAGGCUUAGAUACCCUGGUAGUCUACACCGUAAACGAUGUACACUAGGCGUUGGUCUGUUCUAGGAUCAGCGCUCAAGCUAACGCGAUAAGUGUACCGCCUGGGGAGUAUGCCGGCAACGGUGAAACUCAAAGGAAUUGACGGGGGCCCGCACAAGCGGUGGAGCAUGUUGUUUAAUUCGAUGAUACGCGAGGAACCUUACCCAGGUUUGACAUAUAAGUGGAACUCGCUAGAGAUAGUGAGGCCUCUUCGGAGGCCGCUAUACAGGUGCUGCAUGGCUGUCGUCAGCUCGUGCCGUGAGGUGUUGGGUUAAGUCCCCGCCACGAGCGCAACCCCUGUGUUCAGUUACUACCAUUCAGUUGAGGACUCUGGACAGACUGCCGGCGUUAAGCCGGAGGAAGGUGGGGAUGAUGUCAAGUCAGCAUGGCCUUUAUAUCUGGGGCUACAAACGUGCUACAAUGGUCGGUACAAAGUGAUGCCAAGCCGCAAGGUGGAGCAAACCGCAAAAAACCGGCCUCAGUUCGGAUUGCAGUCUGAAACUCGACUGCAUGAAGUUGGAAUCGCUAGUAAUCGCAUAUCAGAAUGAUGCGGUGAAUACGUUCCCGGGCCUUGUACACACUGCCCGUCACACCACCCGAGUUGGAUUUUCCCGAAGUCGACUAGAUUAACCUGCAAAGGA